UUGACCUCAAAUCAGGUAGGACUACCCGCUGAACUUAAGCAUAUCAAUAAGCGGAAGAAAAGAAACUAACAAGGAUUCCCCUAGUAACUGCGAGUGAAGUGGGAAAAGCUCAAAUUUAAAAUCUGACAGUCUUUGACUGUCUGA
Molecule: ribosomal RNA, 144 nt
Filed under: Amanita ponderosa
Lineage: Eukaryota; Fungi; Basidiomycota; Agaricomycetes; Agaricales; Amanitaceae
Description: partial 28S ribosomal RNA
Rfam family: Eukaryotic large subunit ribosomal RNA
Source: RNAcentral